GAUGAACGCUGGCGGCGUGCCUAAUACAUGCAAGUCGAGCGAAUGGAUUAAGAGCUUGCUCUUAUGAAGUUAGCGGCGGACGGGUGAGUAACACGUGGGUAACCUGCCCAUAAGACUGGGAUAACUCCGGGAAACCGGGGCUAAUACCGGAUAACAUUUUGAACCGCAUGGUUCGAAAUUGAAAGGCGGCUUCGGCUGUCACUUAUGGAUGGACCCGCGUCGCAUUAGCUAGUUGGUGAGGUAACAGCUCACCAAGGCAACGAUGCGUAGCCGACCUGAGAGGGUGAGCGGCCACACUGGGACUGAGACACGGCCCAGACUCCUACGGGAGGCAGCAGGAGGGAAUCUUCCGCAAUGGACGAAAGUCUGACGGAGCAACGCCGCGUGAGUGACGAAGGCUUUCGGGUCGUAAAACUCUGUUGUUAGGGAAGAACAAGUGCUAGUUGAAUAAGCUGGCACCUUGACGGUACCUAACCAGAAAGCCACGGCUAACUACGUGCCAGCCGCCGCAGUAA
This 515-nucleotide ribosomal RNA is filed under the name uncultured bacterium. RNAcentral's name for it is "partial 16S ribosomal RNA". It matches the Rfam family "Bacterial small subunit ribosomal RNA", at positions 28 to 523 of the family's 1533-position model. The record is from RNAcentral.